Molecule: ribosomal RNA, 465 nt
Filed under: uncultured bacterium
Lineage: Bacteria
Description: partial 16S ribosomal RNA
Rfam family: Bacterial small subunit ribosomal RNA
Source: RNAcentral
GACGAACGCUGGCGGCGUGCUUAACACAUGCAAGUCGAACGGAAAGGCCCCUUUGGGGGUACUCGAGUGGCGAACGGGUGAGUAACACGUGAGUAACCUGCCCUUGACUUCGGGGUAACUUCGGGAAACUGGGGAUAAUACCGGAUAGGAAUCCUUGCUGCAUGGUGGGGGUUGGAAAGCUUCGGCGGUUUUGGAUGGACUCGCGGCUGAUCAGCUUGUUGGUGGGGUAGUGGCUUACCAAGGCUUUGACGGGUAGCCGGCCUGAGAGGGCGACCGGCCACAUUGGGACUGAGAUACGGCCCAGACUCCUACUGGAGGCAGCAGUGGGGAAUAUUGCACAAGGGGCGGAAGCCUGAUGCAGCAACGCCGCGGGCGGGAUGCCGGCCUUCUGGUUGUAAACCGCUUUCAGCAGGGGCGAAGCUGGUGGUGACGGUACCUGCAGAAGAAGCACCGGCUAACUACGUG